UCAGACGAUGCGUCAUGCAUAUCAAUAAGCGGAGGAAAAGAAACUAACAAGGAUUCCCUCAGUAACGGCGAGUGAAGCGGGAAGAGCUCAAAUUUGAAAUCUUGAAAGGUCACCUUUCACGAAUUGUAGUUUAAAGAAGUGUUUUCUGUUACGAUCGUAAUAUAAGUUCUUUGGAAUAGGACAUCACAGAGGGUGAGAAUCCCGUCUAUGAUUGCGAUUUGUAGCUUUGUGAUACACUUUCAAAGAGUCGGGUUGUUUGGGAAUGCAGCCCAAAACGGGAGGUAAAUUUCUUCUAAGGCUAAAUAUUGGCGAGAGACCGAUAGCGAACAAGUACCGUGAGGGAAAGGUGAAAAGAACUUUGAAAAGAGAGUUAAAUAGUACGUGAAAUUGUCAAAAGGGAAGCGUUUAACACCAGUGUUGUUUUCUGAAAAUCAACCUCUGUUAGCUUUAUGCAUGUUUGUUUAGACCUAAUCAGCUAUCUUGCAUGUUCUAUUGUUUGCAGUGGUGCACUUUUCAGUUUACAGGUCAACAUCAGUUUUUUUUACCGUAAAAAGGUUAAAGAAAGGUAGCUCAUGGCUCCGGUCGUGAGUGUUAUAGUCUUUUUCCUAUGCGGUAGGAGAGACUGAGGUCUGCAGUGUAGGCUAUUUGGCUAGAUACUCAGGUGCUAUGUGAUACCAUUUCAUAAACAACUUGUUGAUUAUGUUUUGUCUAUUGCAUACUCGCUUGUACUAUCAUACCUACGCUUAGGAUGUUGAAGACUCUACAGAGAUA
RNAcentral lists this ribosomal RNA (771 nucleotides) under uncultured Neocallimastigales. RNAcentral's name for it is "partial large subunit ribosomal RNA". It matches the Rfam family "Eukaryotic large subunit ribosomal RNA", at positions 18 to 640 of the family's 3401-position model. The record is from RNAcentral. Lineage: Eukaryota; Fungi; Neocallimastigomycota; Neocallimastigomycetes; Neocallimastigales.